CACUCACUCAACCUGGGUGUGAUGCUUUAUUGAACCAUCACAACCUCCUUGAGUGAGCGA
RNAcentral lists this microRNA precursor (60 nucleotides) under Mayetiola destructor (Hessian fly). Its description in RNAcentral is "microRNA mir-67". It matches the Rfam family "mir-67 microRNA precursor family", at positions 11 to 73 of the family's 84-position model. Lineage: Eukaryota; Metazoa; Arthropoda; Insecta; Diptera; Cecidomyiidae. The record is from RNAcentral.